UCUGAGAGAGCUGGCAAGAGUGAAAGUAAAAGAGGCCCACGCCACAGUUGCCUGCUGUGGCAUCUGAACCUCAAUAAUGAGUCAUCUACAAUGGAUCCUACCACUGGGAGCUUUUGUAGUUCUGGCCA
This is a long non-coding RNA of Octodon degus (degu), 128 nucleotides long. RefSeq lists it as uncharacterized. The record is from RefSeq and is a predicted model, not a curated record. Lineage: Eukaryota; Metazoa; Chordata; Mammalia; Rodentia; Octodontidae. The transcript has 3 exons.